GGAGAGAAUGUGACCCUCCAGUGUGGCUCACGGCUGAGAUUCGACAGGUUCAUUCUGACUGAGGAAGGAGACCACAAGCUCUCCUGGACCCUGGACUCACAGCUGACCCCCAGUGGGCAGUUCCAGGCCCUGUUCCCUGUGGGCCCCGUCACCCCCAGCCACAGGUGGAUGCUCAGAUGCUAUGGCUCUCGCAGGCAUAUCCUGCAGGUGUGGUCAGAACCCAGUGACCUCCUGGAGAUUCUGGUGUCAGGAGCAGCUGAUAACCUCAGCCCGUCACAAAACAAGUCUGACUCUGGGACUGGUGAGUGAGGAGAUGCUCUCAGUUAUGGAACUGGCACAGAGGGUCAGGUCCUGUCAAGAUGAUGCGGGUGCCCUGGGGGGACAUCUAGGGGUCCUGGGUGAUAUUGAUCCACCCUGACCUCUGCGACCUCUUUGUCCACCAUCCCCAGCCUCACACCCCCGGGAUUACACAGUAGAGAAUCUCAUCCGCAUGGGCGUGGCCGGCUUGAUCCUGGUGGUCCUUGGGAUUCUGAUAUUUCA
This 540-nucleotide small RNA is filed under the name Pongo abelii (Sumatran orangutan). RNAcentral's name for it is "retained intron". The record is from RNAcentral. Lineage: Eukaryota; Metazoa; Chordata; Mammalia; Primates; Hominidae.